This 390-nucleotide long non-coding RNA is filed under the name Zostera marina. RNAcentral's name for it is "long non-coding RNA (ZMAR_LNC004453)". Lineage: Eukaryota; Viridiplantae; Streptophyta; Magnoliopsida; Alismatales; Zosteraceae. The record is from RNAcentral.
UCGUGUAUAAAUAAACAAGAUUAAACAUUGAUUAAAUCAUUCAAAUGAAUACAAAGUUAAUCAAGUUUAAAGAUUGACAAAAUUGCGAUUUCCCCCUCUUCUCCUUUCUUUCUCCACUCGAUAUCACCGGCCGGUAAUUCAGUUUUCCCCCAAAACUUCUGGGCGGAAAACCCUAGGCGUCGAUCGACCGACGAGAACUGUCAGAAGACUCUCCGGACUUCGGAAGACUCUACAUUGUCGCCGGCGCUUCUUCCCAACCAGAAAUUGAGAGAGCCAUUACUAAUUUUAGACCGUUGGUUUAUGUAGACCGGUGGUUUCGGUACUAAUUUUAAGAAUCGAGGCAGGGGGAUUGCAGAUUUUAAAACAAUCUUGGGAUAAAAUAAAUUAAAG